UCCGUAGGUGGAUAAUUAAGUCAGAGGUGAAAUCCUGCAGCUCAACUGUAGAAUUGCCUUUGAUACUAGUUAUCUUGAGUCAUUAUGAAGUGGUUAGAAUGUGUAGUGUAGCGGUGAAAUGCAUAGAUAUUACACAGAAUACCGAUUGCGAAGGCAGAUCACUAAUAAUGUACUGACACUGAUGGACGAAAGCGUGGGGAGCGAACAGGAUUAGAUACCCUGGUAGUCC
This 229-nucleotide ribosomal RNA is filed under the name uncultured bacterium. RNAcentral's name for it is "partial 16S ribosomal RNA". It matches the Rfam family "Bacterial small subunit ribosomal RNA", at positions 568 to 796 of the family's 1533-position model. The record is from RNAcentral.